This 72-nucleotide non-coding RNA is filed under the name Candidatus Gottesmaniibacteriota. The record is from RNAcentral.
GUAAGGAAUCGAGGAACACUGUGUAACUCAGUGGCUGUGCCGCAACGGUUAUAGUCCGGAACUCUCCCUUAC